Molecule: ribosomal RNA, 315 nt
Filed under: uncultured eukaryote
Lineage: Eukaryota
Description: partial 18S ribosomal RNA
Rfam family: Eukaryotic small subunit ribosomal RNA
Source: RNAcentral
CCCUUAGAUGUUCUGGGCUGCACGCGCGCUACACUGACGCACGCAACAGGUGCCUGCUCCGAGAGGACUGGGUAAUCAUUUGAGUGUGCGUCGUGAUGGGGAUAGAAUAUUGUAAUUAUUACUCUUCAACGAGGAAUUCCUAGUAAGCGCCAGUCAGCAGCUUGCGCUGAUUACGUCCCUGCCCUUUGUACACACCGCCCGUCGCUCCUACCGAUGGGUGAUCCGGCGAAUGAUUCGGACUUCAGCGGCUCCCCUGGGGUGCGCCGGAGAAAGUUUUGUGAACCUUAUCACUUGGAGGAAGGAGAAGUCGUAACA